This 529-nucleotide ribosomal RNA is filed under the name uncultured archaeon. RNAcentral describes it as "bacterial SSU rRNA". It matches the Rfam family "Archaeal small subunit ribosomal RNA", at positions 471 to 997 of the family's 1478-position model. The record is from RNAcentral.
UAACACCGGCGGCCCGAGUGGUGAUCGUGAUUAUUGGGUCUAAAGGGUCCGUAGCCGGUUUGGUCAGUCCUCCGGGAAAUCUGAUAGCUCAACUAUUAGGCGUUUCGGGGGAUACUGCCAGACUUGGAACCGGGAGAGGUAAGAGGUACUACAGGGGUAGGAGUGAAAUCUUGUAAUCCCUGUGGGACCACCUGUGGCGAAGGCGUCUUACCAGAACGGGUUCGACGGUGAGGGACGAAAGCUGGGGGCACGAACCGGAUUAGAUACCCGGGUAGUCCCAGCCGUAAACGAUGCUCGCUAGGUGUCAGGCAUGGCGCGACCGUGUCUGGUGCCGCAGGGAAGCCGUGAAGCGAGCCACCUGGGAAGUACGGCCGCAAGGCUGAAACUUAAAGGAAUUGGCGGGGGAGCACAACAACGGGUGGAAGCCUGCGGUUUAAUUGGACUCAACGCCGGACAACUCACCGGGGGCGACAGCAAUAUGUAGGCCAAGCUGAAGACUUUGCCUGAAUCGCUGAGGGGAGGUGCAUGG